UCCUCACACCGGCCGUCAACGUGUGCCUAUUUGUGAUCUCCACAGUAGAGGUUAGAGCAUUCUUACUUGUAUUAGACAGUCCUAAUUAAAAGAUACUUGGAAUAUACUACAGAGCCAAACAGUGCUAUGUGAAAAAAAAGACUGAAUAUGGAAAUUCAGGAGAAAUUUUCUACAGAAACUCCAGCUGACACUGGAGAUCUCACUGCAGAGUGAAAGAGUAAUACAGCAUCACAAAUGGGAAUUGCUGAAUUCUUGUGUGCAAAAAAGCUGAGGACUGUGAGGAAUCUCCUUGGCAGGCACUGCUCUUGCCCUGCUUUUGUGCGAGAGCCACCACAACGGGGCCACGAGGGAGGCAGCGCUGAGAGCUCGCUAUGACAAGUGGCUCCCGGAUCCCCGAGGGGAGCGGGGCGAUAAGCCUCAUCAGGCUCGGUGCCUCGCACAGCUUCUCCUCCAGUUAGCGCCCUCUCGGUACGAUUUCUGAGCAUUAACUGCCAGAAAAAUGCUUCUCAGACACCUGCCAAGUUCCCUCCUAACGUCGGCCUGCCCCGGGACGGCCGGGGGCUGAGGCAGAGGCCGCGCUGCCUCUCACCAGCCCCCGG
RNAcentral lists this long non-coding RNA (599 nucleotides) under Anser brachyrhynchus (Pink-footed goose). Its description in RNAcentral is "lncRNA (ENSABRG00000005904.1)". Lineage: Eukaryota; Metazoa; Chordata; Aves; Anseriformes; Anatidae. The record is from RNAcentral.